UACAGAGGUCUCAAGCGUUGUUCGGAUUCAUUGGGCGUAAAGGGUGCGUAGGCGGCGCGGUAAGUCGGGGGUGAAAUCUCGGAGCUUAACUCCGAAACUGCAUUCGAUACUGGCGUGCUUGAGGACUGGAGAGGAGACUGGAAUUCAUGGUGUAGCAGUGAAAUGCGUAGAGAUCAUGAGGAAGACCAGUGGCGAAGGCGGGUCUCUGGACAGUACCUGACACUGAGACACGAAGGCUAGGGGAGCAAACGGG
This 253-nucleotide ribosomal RNA is filed under the name uncultured bacterium. RNAcentral's name for it is "partial 16S ribosomal RNA". It matches the Rfam family "Bacterial small subunit ribosomal RNA", at positions 524 to 776 of the family's 1533-position model. The record is from RNAcentral.